Molecule: ribosomal RNA, 449 nt
Filed under: Poseidonocella sedimentorum
Lineage: Bacteria; Pseudomonadati; Pseudomonadota; Alphaproteobacteria; Rhodobacterales; Roseobacteraceae
Description: bacterial SSU rRNA
Rfam family: Bacterial small subunit ribosomal RNA
Source: RNAcentral
AUGACAGUACCUGGUAAAGAAACCCCGGCUAACUCCGUGCCAGCAGCCGCGGUAAUACGGAGGGGGUUAGCGUUGUUCGGAAUUACUGGGCGUAAAGCGCGCGUAGGCGGAUUGGAAAGUUGGGGGUGAAAUCCCGGGGCUCAACCCCGGAACUGCCUUCAAAACUCCCAGUCUUGAGUUCGAGAGAGGUGAGUGGAAUUCCGAGUGUAGAGGUGAAAUUCGUAGAUAUUCGGAGGAACACCAGUGGCGAAGGCGGCUCACUGGCUCGAUACUGACGCUGAGGUGCGAAAGUGUGGGGAGCAAACAGGAUUAGAUACCCUGGUAGUCCACACCGUAAACGAUGAAUGCCAGUCGUCGGGUAGCAUGCUAUUCGGUGACACACCUAACGGAUUAAGCAUUCCGCCUGGGGAGUACGGUCGCAAGAUUAAAACUCAAAGGAAUUGACGGAA